Molecule: ribosomal RNA, 1412 nt
Filed under: Lacibacter cauensis
Lineage: Bacteria; Pseudomonadati; Bacteroidota; Chitinophagia; Chitinophagales; Chitinophagaceae
Description: 16S ribosomal RNA
Rfam family: Bacterial small subunit ribosomal RNA
Source: RNAcentral
GGCUUAUACAUGCAAGUCGAGGGGCAGCAGCUUUGUAGCAAUACAGGGGCUGGCGACCGGCAAACGGGUGCGGAACACGUACGCAACCUUCCUUUAACUGGGAGAUAGCCCACCGAAAGGUGGAUUAAUAUCCCAUAGUAUAUUUGAGUGGCAUCACUUAGAUAUUAAAGCUCCGGCGGUUAAAGAUGGGCGUGCGUCUGAUUAGGUAGUUGGCGGGGUAACGGCCCACCAAGCCCACGAUCAGUAGCUGAUGUGAGAGCAUGAUCAGCCACACGGGCACUGAGACACGGGCCCGACUCCUACGGGAGGCAGCAGUAAGGAAUAUUGGUCAAUGGACGCAAGUCUGAACCAGCCAUGCCGCGUGGAGGAUGAAGGCCCUCUGGGUUGUAAACUUCUUUUCUUUGGGACGAAACCCCUGUUUCUACGGGGACUGACGGUACCAGAGGAAUAAGCACCGGCUAACUCCGUGCCAGCAGCCGCGGUAAUACGGAGGGUGCAAGCGUUAUCCGGAUUCACUGGGUUUAAAGGGAGCGUAGGUGGGCUUUUAAGUCAGUGGUGAAAUCUUUGGGCUUAACCCGAAAACUGCCAUUGAUACUAUUAGUCUUGAAUUCUCUGGAGGUAAGCGGAAUAUGUCAUGUAGCGGUGAAAUGCUUAGAUAUGACAUAGAACACCCAUUGCGAAGGCAGCUUACUACGGAGACAUUGACACUGAGGCUCGAAAGCGUGGGGAUCAAACAGGAUUAGAUACCCUGGUAGUCCACGCCCUAAACGAUGAUUACUCGACAUUAGCGAUAUUACAGUUAGUGUCUAAGCGAAAGCAUUAAGUAAUCCACCUGGGAAGUACGACCGCAAGGUUGAAACUCAAAGGAAUUGGCGGGGGUCCGCACAAGUGGUGGAGCAUGUGGUUUAAUUCGAUGAUACGCGAGGAACCUUACCUGGGCUAGAAUGCUGGGAGACCGCAGGUGAAAGCCUGUUUUGUAGCAAUACACUGCCAGUAAGGUGCUGCAUGGCUGUCGUCAGCUCGUGCCGUGAGGUGUUGGGUUAAGUCCCGCAACGAGCGCAACCCCUAUCUUUAGUUGCCAUCAGGUAAUGCUGGGAACUCUAAAGAAACUGCCGUCGUAAGACGUGAGGAAGGAGGGGAUGAUGUCAAGUCAUCAUGGCCUUUAUGCCCAGGGCUACACACGUGCUACAAUGGGGGGGACAAAGGGCUGCCACUUAGCGAUAAGGAGCUAAUCCCAAAAACCCUCUCUCAGUUCAGAUUGGAGUCUGCAACUCGACUCCAUGAAGCUGGAAUCACUAGUAAUCGUAUAUCAGCAAUGAUACGGUGAAUACGUUCCCGGACCUUGCACACACCGCCCGUCAAGCCAUGGAAGCUGGGUGUACCUAAAGUCGGUAACCGCAAGGAGCCGCCUA